This 23285-nucleotide long non-coding RNA is filed under the name Coffea arabica (coffee). RNAcentral describes it as "long non-coding RNA (CARA_LNC004472)". Lineage: Eukaryota; Viridiplantae; Streptophyta; Magnoliopsida; Gentianales; Rubiaceae. The record is from RNAcentral.
CCAAUUGCUGGUGGAGGACACAGAAUUGAUUGGCGGAACAGACAUUUUGUCGCGUGAAAAGCUUGCGUUAAGGGAAAGAGAUGUCUACCAGUUACACUUGCGUUACUAACCAUGGCUUCUGGGGAGGUGGGUUUGGGCCAGAGGAGAAUCAGGACUCAGUAGUCAGGAGACAGAUAGGAAGCGCUUACAUAUACCAUCGAAAAUACAAGGACUGGAAUUGGAUAGGAUGUGCUCCUCAGUGGUUUAUUUUUCUUACAUUCUAUUUGAUUCUAUUAUUGUUACCACUCCCAGGCAUGUUAAAUUUAUUAUCCUUUUCAAGUGAGAGAGCUAGAAUUCCACAUGUCUCAUUUACACUUUCUUCUCGAACCCCUCAUUUACACUUCCUUCAGGAACCCAUUUUUCCUGCAGGUAUGUUCAUUACUUGUUUGUUAGCAAGAGGAAUGUGUACAUUCAAUCUAGUGCUCUUUUUUUUUCCUUUUAAACUAUUUAUUUUUACAUCCUAUCCAAAUCUGUCAGUUAAAAGUCGAAAAUAAAUUGAACACCCAAGGUGAAUUGGAAACAACAGAAUUAGGACGCAUCCAUCUCCUCGGCAUUUACCAUUUAGCGUGUUUUGAUAGAAAUCAUGAAAUACUUCAGCCCUUUACAACACUGGAGUUUAGUUCAACGAAUGCCCCAAAACAUUACGCACACAUUAUACCACCCCAUAUCUGGGACAUUUACAUGGAUUCAAAAGCUAGUGCAUAGCAGGAGCAGGCCUUCAAAGGAUUUGCUUGGUGAAUCUUUGAGUUCCUCGCUAAAAUUAACCUUUUAUUCAUCACUGCGUUCUAUAUGUGCUCCACAACUCUAAUUUUUUCUGCCCUACUUCAGGAUCUGUACAUGUCACAAAAUGAAAUUAUCCUAUAAUUCUUACAACAAUAGAGAGGCAGAACACACUCAACAAAUAAUAAUCCAUCUCACACCAAGAGGUGCCUCAGUCAUCUUCGCAGUUGUCAUCAAUCUAGUGUGUGGUUAUCUUGGCGGCUCUUUCCCAGUUUCGCUAUGAGGAAGCACAAGCUUCAAGCUUUGGAAGAAGACUCCGCCAGGCUUCAGCAAUACCAUUUGCUAAAUGUGCUUGUCCCUUAGCAAAUUCAUGAAAAGCAAGCCCCAUAUCCAGUGUCUUUUGUUCUUGAAAUCGGACAAUUUCUUCAUUCAUUAGCUGGACGAUUGCCUCAAAUCUUCUUGUUGCUUCCUCACCAUCAGCCUUCAGCUGCAUACACAAACUCAUAAUAAGGGGAAAAACAGCAAUCAUAGUAAAAGCAAACAAUACAAUUCAAGGCCAACUAACCACGUCAUAUUCACGCUCAGCGUCAGCCAAUUUUUCUGAACGCGUUAGCCUAAGUUUGUUCCUGCAGAAGAAUACAAACACAUUUUCAUCAAUAAUAAAUUACUAGCAGUAAAUUCCAAUUAGUAGUUAAUUAUUAACAAGUUCUCUGGAUAAGUUUCUAUAGAUUUGCUAAUAUUGAUGUUCCCUUGUGCAUAACUUGACAAGACAAUAUUUUGAAAGAACAUUUCCUAAGACAGAGCAACAAGGAAGAAGGGCGGGUAUUGCAACAGCAUGGUCAAUGUAGCUCUGGCUUAAAUUUGGGUUCAUAGGAAUUAAACCUUUAAGUAACAUUUAAGUUCAUAAAAAAGACCUAAUACAGAUUAGUGCAGUUGUUUACAAAACAUGAUUUGCUAAGAACCAGAAAACAUGUUGUAAAAUUUCUUAAAGCAACAGUUGGUUAUCAACAUAAAAAAAAAAAAAAAAAUCCAAAUUUUGUUCUGCUUGCAUCACAAACACAAUUUCCAACCACCUUUUUAUUUCACAUGCAUCACAUCACCAAAAAAAGCUACAGUGUUAUUUCAGAUAUUUUCCCCAAGCAGAGUUGACAUCACUACCUACCAGCCUUGCAUUUUGUGCUGAACAUGAAAAAGUUGAUAUCAUUAUUCAAUUACCAAGCAUUAGCUCACUAAAUCCUGAGUUCAUGUACAAACUCACAAUCUUCUACAGGGCAUGAAGUUUCUGUUUUCAUAAUAAUGUUUCCAAAUAUAAGAUCCACAAACUAAUGCAAGUUGAAACUCACAGAUCAAUUUCCUUGAACUUUAUAGUUUCGGCCAAUUCACAUUGCUGCUUAAAUGCAUUUGCCCUCUCAGCUAUUGUAGCCUGUUAAGAAAGAAGGAUGGAAAGAGUGUCAGAUUAUAUUGGUGAAAAAAAAUGUGAUAAAAAAAUAGACAAAGCAAGAAUUGUGGAUCAAGACAAGGCAACAUCAUUCCACUAUUCUUUGCCACAAUUGUUGUAUGAUAUUUGGCAUUAUAAUUUACAUAGAGAGAAAAAACGGGGGUUUUCUUCCUUGAUUUAUAUUGCAAGAGCUACUCCCAAUGGCUAAAUAAAUUCACGUAUACGUUUCAAGAAAACAUAAUAUCAGACAGAAGUCUCCACCCUUCAAUAGGACACAUGAACAAUGCAUAAGGCUCCCAGACUAACCUUAAUUGACUGUACAGCACGAACAUAGUCUUUCAAAGAUUCUUCAAAGUUCAUCAACAGGUGGUGAGCCUGAAACUCACCAAAAAUAAAUAUACAAUCAGAUAAGUAAACUUCAGUUUUAAAGUAAAAAAAAAAAAAAGUUCAGUGUGAUAUUUUAUAUAAGUACAAAAACGCACCUCCCUCUGCAUCUUAACCGAGACUAUUUCUGCUUUGUCCCCAACCUCAGAAAAUACCUUACCGAGAGCAUUAUCUUCACAUGUACCAAGCAGCUUGACUGCCUUCCCAAACUCUGACAGAGAUUGCCCCAACUCUGAGGUAAAAUAUCAAGAAACUCAAUAUGUGUAACUACCUUCAUUCAAAUGCAGCAAAUGAGGAACCAAAUCAAUGUUAUACAAUAGCAUUCAGCUCUGGAAAAAGAAGAAUCUAAAACCACGAAAACCCAUAAAUGAGGUUCCACGAGAGAAAAUGGGGAAAAUCCAGUUUAAUAGAGAAAAACUGAAAAGGUGCUGAUGAAAAAAGGCAACAGUAUGAAACACGUUUCAUUGUGGAAAAUCGACUCUCUAAUCUCUCAGAAAGAAAUCUCUGCAGAUCAAGUAUUGGGAAAACAAAUACUUUACUUUGUUUUUGGGAGAUCAAGUUUUUGGGAAAUCUCUGCAGAUCAAGUUUUUGGGAGAACAAAUACUUUACUUUGUUUAAAAUGAUAACAUUUGCAGCAUAUACACCAGAAUAGCAUCCUACUACUGACACUAAAACAUAUAAUCGAGCAUUACAAGGAAUGAGUACCCCUAAUACCUCUAUGUCUUUUUACAAGACGAUAGGCAUGCUUCUGAGCUUCAGCUAAGUGAUCUUCAAGCUCAAAUAUAUAACGUUUUAGUUUCUCAUACUCAGGAGUCGAUUCUUCAACAGGUUUCUCCUUUCCAAGAACAACAUCACUCACCUUUGACUGUACAUCCUGCACAAUAUUGCAACUCUGUCAAUAUUAUAUCUCUGAAUACACACCUUUCAAGUUUCAAGGGAUAUUUCAAAACAUUCUGCCAGUAUGAAAUGGUAUUGAGGACCAACCAAAAUGCUUAUUGAGCUCCUUGUGAACGUGAUGGAACUCUAUGAUGUGGAACACAGUGACCAGGAAAGACCAACUCACUAAAAGAAACCAGCAAGGUAUCUCACUUUUCAGUAUAAGCAUCUCCUAACUUUUACCAACAGCUUAAAUUUGUGAAAGAAAGAAAUUGCAACAUUUUCAAAAUGUAGUUAUCUAGAGCUCUCCCUAGCAAACUGGUGUGGUAUUAAAGAUCACCUGAAUGCAUCUCGAUGGCUAAUUUUCAAAGGAUUAAUCAAAUUUAAGUCAAAAUUCCAUCUGAGAUAGAAUAGAGAGUUUGAAAUUUCAAUCCAAAUAUACGGUACCUUGAAAAUCUGCAUCAAAUCAGCUGGUUUCUUCUUGAAGAUACCAAUCUCUUGUGAUCUUGCUCUUUCCAUUGUCUACAGAACAGCCAGUGAAACGACACAAUGCAUAAUGUACCAAACAAAGGAAGAAAAAUUGAAAUGGCAUAGCAUAUAGAACGUUAAAAAGGUAUGAAGUAAAAUACAGAAGAAUCAAGACAAUGGAAACGAAAUAUGCACUUCAGAUGCAUUGUAAGAAUUGACAGGUGUGGAAAAAGUCCUUGAAAAGAGGUAAGUAGGCAAAGAAAAUGCUGCCAGACUGAAGUUGAACAUCAAUUCUUGAAAAUGAAACAUUUUUAAAGUACAACCUUAGAGAGGAAAAGGGUGCUCCCUUUAAAAUAAAUUUCCAAAUGCAAGAAAAGCUUUAUUCAAAAUGAAUUGCAGAACACCAAACCUUUUUUGUUAAAGCAUCAAAUUCAGCCAAACUACCUGUUCAUCUGCCUGCAAAAAGAUUCUCAGGUCCUCACUCUGCUGAAGAAUGUGAUGAGAAGCUAUCCGGUUGACAAAUAUAUCAAGUGCUUGACGCCGCAUUUCGAUGAACUCGGCAGUGAACCUAAAUUUUUCUGCCCAAGGAAGGACAAAAUUACAGUUACAGAAACACAGAAUUGUCCCAACUAAUCAGAUUCACUGUGUGACAAGGUCAAAGUGCCUUAGACACAUGCUAAACAAGACUUGCACUUCAUCAGGAUUUGUAGUAGUGAAAUGACAGAUGCAUAAAAUGCUAUUCAAUUCCUGGGUAUGAUGAAUUGAUGAAACUUUCAGGACAUGGAUGUGAAAAGAAUAUCAGUCAUUAAUGCCACUUUACAUUUAUUUUUUCCAGCCUAGAUUAAAGUUGAAAAAACAAUGGACAGUAAUGGCUAAGUAAUUCGAUAAAUGAAGACAAGGAAAAAGACAAAGAAUUAUUCUGAGAAUGAAAACCUAGCAUUACUAAUAUCAUCUCCCAUGAGAACCUGUUCAUGAAUGUUUGAUCGUCCCAAUUAGCAUAUUUCGGAACUAUAACAAUUGCAGGAACAUGGUCUUUACUUUUGACACAUUGCCACAUCAGUCACUUCCCCAAUUUGGCAACAGGAAAACCAUAAAUGGAUGACUAUCAUGCGGAACCACAGAUAAAACAAGGAGAAACGAAGGAAAAGUAUGUGCAUUAACUUAUUACCUACUGUGCUCUUCUCCGGAAGAGGAGGGAUAAAGAUUCCCUUGUACUUCUCAAAAAGACGAUCUCGCAACCACACAAAAUCACUAUAUCUACGAAUAACAAUCUUCUCUGGCCCUUGAUAAUCUGGCAAAUUUGUCUGCAAUAAUAAUUCCCAGAUAUAACUGACGCAGCCGAAUCAACUAUUCAGAUAAUUAAGAAGUAAGCAUCCUAUAAUAGAAACAUUCUAAAAACCUAACAAUACUAAUACCACUUUGACUUGCUUAAGGGGUGCAACAGAAAGUAAAGGCAAACCCUGACACUACAACAAUGUAAGCACCGGAAAAAUAUAUCUAACAUUUACCGCUUAUUUUUCACUACAGUUAUCAAGAAAGCAUCGCCAUCAACUGUAAAAGUCAUCACAGUAAGCUACUUUCCAAAAGAGCGAUCUGUAUCUAUGUAUGUGACUUGAUAAGAUAUUUAAUCAAUCACAGCAUACAAUAUUCGAGCAAAUGAAGAAUGAGGUGAAAUAUGCCAACCUUAGUGAUAACUUUGUAGGAGAUAUAAGCUUGAACGCCAUUGCCCAUCUUAGCUGGAUCAAUCACUGAUACUGAUAAAAACGGCUCUUGCGACGACGGGGAUCUAGGGCUCUGCGUUGACCCCGAUCCACUCCUUUGCAGCUGCUGCAGCGUAUUCAAUCAAUUCGAGUUAAAUCCGUCAUCAAUUAUGAAUCAGAAAAAUGUUUAUUACUGAGACAUGAUAUUGAAUUUAUACGCAUGCAAUAUAAAUAUAAACGCGUUCAACUAAGUUCAAUCACUACAAGGAUGGUGGCAUGUGUGUAAAUACCGUCGGGAUCAUGGUUGUUCUUGUAUUGGAGUCAGUGAAGAAGAGCGGCGGAGAUACAGAGAAGAGCGAUAGAAGAGGUUUGUCGGAUGAGAGGCGGAUAUGGAGUGUAGAGUGACGGAAGAGACUUGUUUGGAAGUUAAUUGUAUCGGCGGUGCUGGGGUAGUUGCUUCACCGUUCCGGCGAGUCCAGAGUGUAGUAAUGUGCCAAAGCUGGGGGUAUUAUUGGGGUGGGAUAAAAAAGGGGGGGUGACUGGUGAGGUAAAUUCGGCCAUUAACUGAUUCGCCAGCUUACGCAAUGGCGUCUGAGUUGGCAACUAACAAGUGGAGAACCCUCUUGUUUGUGGGCCCAAUACCCUCGAGUUGUUUGUUCUAGUCCAGAUAAUGGUCUAAGAUGUCUACUUUAAUAAUAACCUUGAACUUAGAGCACUUUGAGGAUUAGCAUGUGUAUCAUAAACUAGUACUACUAAACUGCUACUAGAUGCUAAGGUGUAAACAAGAUUGGUCGAGCCAACAUGAGGUAACAGAAAAAUUUAGGGUUCUUUUGCUUGGAUAAUGAUUAUCAUGCAGUGCCAGUUGGAGCCUAAACUUAUAUUAGAUCGAGUGUGUUUGGAUUGUAAGUUAUUUGAGAUAUUUUUACUGUAGCACUUUUUGUGAUGUGAUGUAUGUGAGAUAAAAAGAUAAUUGGAAAGAUAAAAAGGUGUAUUGGAAAUUGUAAUAGUGAUGUAAGAAAAUAUAUUUUGGUGAAUAACUUGCAAUCCAAACAUAUUUUCGAUUUUUUACUUGGUAGGUUGAAUUUAUAUUGUCAAGGCCUCUGCAUUUUAUUUGCACUAGUUAAGAGCCCAUCUAAUGUAUGUGAAUUUAAAAAUAUUAAAAAUGAAUUAUCUUUGUAUAUAUUUUUUUAUAUAAAUAACAUUUGUAUUAGUUUUUCUAAAGAACUUUGGUUUGUAUGGUUACAAUAAUUUAGUAGUUAUAAUUUUUGGAGUAGUUAUGGAUAGUUAUUACAAUACUUAGGUGGUUUUGAGUAGUUGUAUCAAUAGAACGUGAUUAGAUGAGUAAGGUUUUUUUUUUGGUAAAACUAUAAUUGAAAGUUCAAAAGAUUACAAUGAUUGUUUAUAUCAAUUGCCAAUACUCUAACUUUUUAUAUUGUGUAGAUUUGACUUGACUAGAUUGACCAAUAUUAAUUUGCAGUCACUAUUAUAGACGCAAAUCACGUUCAAAUAAGAAUUCUUUCCCUUUAAAGUGUUGCUGUGUUCUUUGCCACCCUCCCUCCUCCCAGAAGGCUCUUCCACUACCCAAUCCACCAUCGUUUUUCAUCCAAUUCACUACCGUUUUCGUGAAUGUAUUUAAUUCUUCUCUUAACUUCUCUUCUUGCUCUAUUAAUCAAAAGUAUCUUAUAUAUAAUAGUUUUGAAGUGACAACUAAACUAAAAAGGAAGUGAGACCGGUGGCAACUGCAAAAAUAGGUUGACUUUUUUCCAUUUUGGUUAUGUCUCGUUUAAUAUGAGAUCGAUUCCUAAUGAGAUCAAUUUGAUUGACUAGUGCCCUAUUUAAUUUUCUAUUUCUUGCCUAAUUAACAUCUUAGAUUUUUUAAGACAUGGCUUUUGCCUUAUGGUGCCAAAAGCAACUCUAUCAUAAAAUGUAAACUUUUCUAAUUAUCGGCAUAAUAAUUCACUUCAUAAUAUCUAAUCUGUAAUCAUUCUCUCUAAUUCAAAUAAUUAGCUUCAUUUUAUGUGUUGAAUUUUGUAUGGCUUUUAUCAUUGAAUACGUGGCCCGUAAUGUUAUCAAAUUUGAACAAAAAGGGGACAAUUGAUGAUGAAAAUUGGCUCCUAAUUUUUUCAUUUCGUACAAAAAAAUAAGUAUAUUAAUAAUUAGAAAGAUUCAAAAAAAAAAUCAAUACCUAUGAAAGUUUUGAAAGUUACAUAGGCAAUCAUUGAAACAAUAUAAAUAAGGUAUAUAUAUCUUAAAUUUUUAUGAAGCUAUUUUUUACCUAUUUCUUGUGUAUAUACUAAUGGUAAUUAUAGUUUCAAUUUUUAAGUUUUAACAAAAAUUAUAUUUGUUUGUCAAAAAUGAAAGUAAGAUGUGAUAGAUAAUUUUAAGUAUUUUUAUUUAACUAUUAUAACUAAUUUGCAUGUGGUUAUCAUUACUAGCAAUUUGCCAAAUUUUUUCAACAAUUCUUUUUUAUUGUCAAUAUUACAAAUAUUAUGGAUCAUAAUAUGUUUCCUUAAAAGUUAAGAGAUCAAUAUAUUAGGGAUCAUAUAUUUUAAAUUUUGAAAUACAUGAAACUAAAUUUGUUAUCUUGGUGACUACUUUAACUCGGUAUCUAAUAUUUGACAAUUGUCUCGAUAAGCCUACCUAACAAAUACAAUAAAAGUACAAAAUGGCAUCUAAAGUCUUGUAUACUACAAAUAUAAUCAAAUCUUAUUAGAUCUCCGUAGUGACCUAGGGUUCAGCACUCCCGAACUUUUAUCGGGAGUUCCACGUGUCUUUUAACCUCUUUAUCUUUUGGGAUGCACCAUUUACAACUUUGCAUAGGCCGUCUGAGUUGUACAUCUAGAACAUCAGUCACAUUUUCUUUCUUUACAAUCUAUAAAUGUCACCCAUACUCCAUUUAUUUAAGAUAAUGACCAACUCCACACUCUUAGGCACAAAAUGGCAUCUAAAAUCUUGUAUACUACAAAUAUAAUCAAAUAUUAUUAGAUCUAUGUAGUGACCCACGGUUUGGCACUUCCGAGCUCUUUGUCAGGGACACCAGGUAAUUUGACUAUCUAGUGUGGAGAUUGAGAGUUAGAGGAAUGAAUUAGAGAAAAGAGAAGAGAGGCAGAAGAGGGAAAGAGAGAAAACUGAAGAGAGAGGGAAAGAAUGGAAAUUGUUAUUUCUUCAAAAUGUCGUUGUUACAAUUAAUGGUGGUCCCCACCUUUAUAACAACCUGAUUCUGGUAGUUAAUCCUAACCGACUCAAUACUCACUACUAAACUACAUCGUUUUGAUUGCAAUUAAUCCAAGCCUGACAAUUCCCUCCCCAUAAAACAGACUUGUCCUCAAGUAUAGAAUUCAGGGAAUUGAUGUUCAACAAAAGACUUGUCCUCCCAAGAUGCCUCCUCAUAAUCCAAGUGAUUCCAUUUAAUCAGAAACUGAAUAACUGGCUUAGCAUCUCGCAAAAUAACCCUCCUUUUCAGAAUUACUUCUGGCUUUAAUGGACAUUGAUCCUGAAAGUCUAACUCUGGUAGGGUAGUGGAGCUGCCCUGCAUUGGUCUCAAUUUCUUCUUAAGCAAAAACACAUGGACACUGAAUGUAGUUUGGAGUCGGCUGGCAGCUUAAGUUUACAGGCUACUGCCCCCACCUUCUGCUCAAUCUGGAAUGGCUCGUAGUACUUAGCUGCUAAUUUGAGACAUUUUCUGAUAGCCACAGUCUGUUGUCUGUAGGGUUAGAGCUUUAGAAACACCCAAUCCCCCACAGAGAACUCCCUUUCAGAUAUGUGAUAAUCAGCAUACUGUUUCAUCCUUUGUUGAGCCUUGGUCAAGUUCUCCUCAAUGCAGUAUGAUAUCCUGAUCCUUUCCUGCACCAUGUUGGAAACUGCAGGAAUCAUGGAGUCUAAUACGGUCCCAUUGGUAAAUGUACUGGCUUGUAUCCAAACAAGGCUUCAAAAGGGGUCAUUCCCAGGCUUGAAUGGUAGGUGGAAUUGUACCACCACUCAGCCAGAGAUAACCACUUGCCCCACUGGGAAGGAAGCUCUCCAGUCAUACACCUCAGGUAGUUUUCCAAACAUUGGUUGAGUCUUUCAUUCUGACCAUCAGUCUGAGGAUGGUAAGAUGAAGAGUAAUGUAGCUCAGUCUCAACUAGCUUGAAGAGCUCUUUCCAGAACCUGUUGGUGAAGAUUUUGUCCCUAUCAGUGAUGAUAGACUCUGGUAGGCCAUGUAGCUUAUAGAUGUUGUCCAGAAAAGCUUGAGCAACCUCCUUUGCUGUAAAUGGAUGUGUCAAUUUGAUGAAAUGACCAAACUUGGUGAAUCUGUCAAUAACUACCAGUAUAGUAUCAUAGCCUUGUGACUUAGACAAUUUCUCGAUGAAAUUCAAUGUGAGAUCAUGCCUGCUUAGGUACAGAGAAUGGUUGCAGCAAUCUGGGGUAGAGAACAUUUUUAGACUUGUUUCUUUGACAGACAUCACACUUAUGUAUAAAGGACACCACUUCUUGCUUUAUGCUUGGUCAGUAGAAUAAGUUCCUAAUUUUCUGCCAGCAAUUCCUCUGGCCUGAGUGACCACCUAUUGCUGAAGCAUGUAAGGCCAGUAUAACUUGCUCCCUGAUGUUCCCUGCCUCUCCAACAUAGAUCCUACCCUGGAAUUUCAAUAUUCUAUCCACCAUAGUCACUGUGAGAGUUGGGAUCCAGCACUAGUUUAGCUAUAAUGUCUUGGCAAUGAGUGUCAUCCUCAUAACUUUUCUGCAACUCUGCAAUCCAGCCAGGUUUGACAGAGCUAAUAGCCAUACAAGAGCUCAGUGCAACUGUAGGUGUAACUUCAUGUAUCCUAGACAAUGCAUCAGCCACCUGGUUUUCUCUACCUUUUUUGUACUGUAUCUCAUAGUCCAACCCUAGAAGCUUAGUCAUCCAAUUAUGUUGAAGUGUAGUGUUUAAUUUUUGAUCCAAUAGAUACUUCAGAGACUGGUGGUCAGUUCUAAUGAUGAAAUGAUUCUCAACCAAGUAGUGCCUCCAUUUAGUAACUAGCAUUACUAGAGCAAGGAGUUCUUUUUCAUACACUGAUAAUCCCAAGUUCUUAGCUAAGAGUGCCUUGCUUAAGAAAGCAAUACGGUGCCCUUCUUGCAUCAGAAUUGCUCAUAUACCUCCUUCACUGGCAUCUGUCUCUACUAUUAAAGACUUAUUGAAAUCUAGCAACUGAAGAACAGGAGCUGAGCACAUCAGUUUCUUAAGUUGAUCAAAAGAAUUUUGUGCUUGCAUUUUCCAUUUGAAGCUGUCCUUUUUGAGCAAUUCAAUAAGUGGCUUGCAGACAAGCCCAUAAUGCUUUAUAAACCUUCUGUAAUGUACUGUAAGUCCCAAAAAGCCUCUCAAUUCCUUAACAGUUUGUGGUAUGGGCCAUUGCAUAAUGCUUUUGAUCUUAGAAUCAUCCAUAGUGAUCCCUUGUUCAGUAAUGGUAUGCCCCAGAUAGUCCACUCUGGUCUGAGCAAAGGCACACUUGAAUUUCUUUAUGUAUAGUUGAUUACUGCUCAGAAUGUCAAACACAAUCCUCAGAUGAUGCACAUGAGUCUUCACUGUAGAACUGUAUACAAGGAUGUCAUCAAAAAAUACCAGAACAAAUUUCCUCAAAUAAGGUUGAAAUAUAUGAUUCAUCAGUGAUUGGAAUGUGGCAGGAGCAUUUGUGAGUCCAAAAAGCAUGACUAGAAACUCAAAGUGCUCACAGUGAGUUUGAAAGGUUGUCUUGAAGGUAUCCUGACAUUUCAUUCUGAUCUGAUAAUAUCCAGCUGUGAGAUCCAACUUAAUCUUAAACACAGCACCUGUUAGUUCAUCCAGUAGCUCAUCCACAUUGGGUAUUGGGAAUCUGUCCUUGACAAUUAAUUCGUUUAACUUUCUGUAGUCCACACAAAAUCUCCAAGUACCUUCUUUUUUCUUGACUAGCAAAACAAGGGAGGCAAAAAGACUAUUGUUGCACUUGACUAUACCCUUCUGCAACAUCUCAGUAACCUGCUUCUCAAUUUCCUCCUUAUGGCAAUGGGGGUAUCUAUAAGGUUUCAAUUUGAAUGGCUUAGUUCCUGGUUUGAGGGGUAUUUCAUGAUCCACAUUUCUACUGGGAGGUAAGUCAUUUGGGGUCUGAAACAUAUCUUCAUAAUGUUGUAGUAGUUCAGCUACUUCUGAGGGUAUAGGGUCAGCUUCUCCUCUUUCAUCCUGUGCUUAGCUCAUUGCCAUACACAUCUGCUUCUUGUACUCUAUGAAUCUCCUUAAAUCCUUUCCCUUGAUUAGGUCCAUAUCACAAUCUUCUGCUCUCCCAUGCAACUGGAUCUCAUCUCCCUCAUGAUGUAAAGAUAUUCUGAGCUGAUGGAAAUCGAAUGUAAUUGGACUAAAGUGUGUUAUCCAAUUCACUCCCAAUUUUAUGUCCCAACCCCCAAGUUUCAUUACUUUGAGGCUGAAUCUGAAAUUAUGUUGGUUAAUCCUCCAGUGCACAUUAGGACAAAUAGCAUUACUAGUUACACACGUUCCAUUGCCCAUGAUAACAAAAAAUGGCUGAUCCACCCACUGAUACCCAAUAUCCAUGCCAAUAACCAACUCAUUGCUGAUGUAACUGUCUGAACUUCCAGUAUCCACCAGAAUUAGCACCUCCUCCCCAUCAAGGAUGCCCACAAAUGUAAUGAUUUUCCUUUUUAAUGUUUCAGAUAAUGCAUGUAAGGACAUCUCCAUUGCCUGCCCAGGAUUUCCUGUCUGUUCAUCCUGCUCACUCACUGCAUCUUCAAAGGCAGAUUCCUCUUCUUAUUCAGGAACAUGCAGUUUGCAUAGCUUACCUUGUACUGGUGGCCUAUUCCAUACUUUUUCCCACACUUGAAGCAUAGUCCAUUAGCCCUCCUAUACUGCAUUUCCUGUGUUGAAGGUUUCUUUGAGUCCUUGAAUUCCUUUUGAGAGUUUCUGAACUUGGAAUAUUUGAAAUUGCUACUGACAGGCACCUUAUAUGAGUGACUCCCAGUAGUUGGUGUAUUACUCAUUGUCAUUCCAAACUUAUGCUCCCCCAGAGCUCUGGUACUGUCCUUAGUAUUCCUACGUUGGAUCCUGAUUGACUGUUCCUGCCACUAUGAAAUCUCAAAUGUUUCUGUCAAGGUAGUAGAUUUAAGCAUCCUGACCAUAGGUUUGAUUUCUUCAUUUAAUCCACUUAUGAAACUGGAAACAAAAUAGUUUUCAUCCAGAUUUCGAUUCUUAGUCAUCAUCAGAGGUUUCAAUUCUUCAAAUUUUUCUUGAUAUUCUCUCACACUCCCUUCCUGUUGCAGCUUAUUAAACUCUUCUAUCAUAUCUCUGCAAGUACUAUCAUUGAAUCGCCUAUACAGUAAUUCACUAAAUUCUUCCCAGUCCAAAUUAGAUUUCUCAAUUUUUACCCCUUGAAACCACUUGUCAGCUCUACCUUCUAGAUACAUCUCAAUGACCUCAACUUUCUGUUCCUCAGGAACUUGAUAAUUCAAAAGGUAUUUAUUACAUUUGCGGAGCCAAUCCCUAGGAUUUUCACCAGAAAAUAAUUGUAAAUCAAUUUUUGGAGGAUUUGGAAUCUGAAACUUACUCCAGUCCUUCUUAAAAGGUCUUUUGAGCCUCAAUUUCAGCCUGUAGCCUUUGGUGAGCUGGAGGAGUAGGUAGAAUUGGUGUUAGAUCCACGUUUACUCUUCCAUCCUUUUCUGGAACCUUAUAUUUCCCCGUUGUCAUCUUCAUCAGUAGGUUGUUAAUCUUUUGUUCCAAAUUCUAUUAAGAUUCUGUUCCAUUCCAAUGACCAGGUCCUCCAUCCUCUUGUUGCUUUCUUCGAGCUCUAUUUUCAAUUCGCUCCUAAUUUGUUGUUGCUCCAAUUGAGCUGAAUGCAAGGAUCCUAGCAGUUCCUGGAGCUUGAACUCCUAUUUUUUCACUUAUUCCUCCAAUGUUUGAAGCCGAUUGCCUUCUGCCAUUGAAUUUCAAAGCGAGCUCCAAGGAUCGUUUGCUCUGGAUACCAAUUGUCAGGGACACUAGGUAAUUUGACUAUCUAGUGUGGAGAUUGAGAGUUAGAGGAAGGAAUUAAAGAAGAGAAAAGAGAGAAGAGAGACAGAAGAAGGAAAGAGAGAAAACUGAAGAGAGAGAAAGAAUGAAAAUUGUUAUUUCUUCAAAAUGUCGUUGUUACAAUUAAUUGUGGUCCCCACCUUUAUAACAACCUGAUUCUGGUAGUUAAUCCUAACCGACUCAAUACUCACUACUAAAUUACAUCGUUUUGAUUGCAAUUAAUCCAAGCCAGACACUCUUAUCGGGAGUUUCACGUAUCUUCUAACUUUUUUUAUCUUUUGGGAUGCACCAUUUACAACUUCGCAUAGGCUGUCAGAGUUAUACAUCUAGAACAUUAAUCAUCUUUUCUUUCUUUACAAUCUAUAAAUAUUGCCCAUACUCCACUUAUUUAAGAUAAUGAACAACUUUACACUCUCUUUAGAAUGUGAACAGUUGGUACUAACUUGAGUAUCAUCAACGAGACCCUAGUUUUGUAUUGACACUCUUUUUAAACCUUGAAUAACUUGAGUAUCAUAAUCAUCUUGGGGACGAGACCUUGAUUUUGUAUUGACAAUCUUUUUAAACCGUGAACAACUCGUACUAAUUUAAAUAUCACAGUUAUCUUGGUUUUGUAUUGACACUCUCUUUAAAUUGUGCUACCUUGAAUAUCAUAAUUAUCCCAGGAUAAGAUCUUGGUUUUGUACUUGAGUGUCACAAUCAUUCAAGGACAACAUCUUGGUUUUGUAUUGUUGUUCAAUACUUACAAGUGUUUAAGCAAUAGAUCGUAGCCCACCAACUUGUACCUAACCUAGACUACUCAAAAAUAUAUCUGAGAGCAUUUCUAACCCUUCAAUCUAUAGGUCUUAUUUUUCAUUUUUUUAGCAACAAGAAGAAAUCACCAUUUUCAUUGAGAAUUACGUCUAUCUAUUUUUAAAAAUUAAAAAAUCAAACAUUUACACAAAUUGAAAACUACCAUGUAUAAAUGUGGAUUAAAAUUUAAAGAAACUUGAUGUGUAUAUUUUUUUUGUGGUUUGAUUAAUAUUUAGGUUACAAAAAUUAUCAAGUUUUUAUAAACACAAGUUCAAUUUUUUUUAAGUUCUAGUUUUUUAAUCACUAAGUAAGAGAAUAUUAGGAUACGUUGGAUAAGUGUGUUUUUUAGCAUGUUUUUAAUUUUUCUCUCGCUGUCACCAAUAUUUCUAAUCAAAUCUAUGUUCAUCACUAUUAUCACCACUCUCAAUUCCUCCCACCAUUGCUUCAUUUACAACUGUUGCUUCUCGCCACCAUAAUUUUUUCACUUUUGUCAUCUUUUCCCUGCCUCUCAUGCAUUUUUCCUCCAUUCUUCAACCAUUUCUUCUGCUUUUUCCUCAUUUUCUCUUCCUUUUCUUUCUUUCCCUCGCCACUUCCCUCUUAUCUCUCUUUCUCCACCCAUCUUUCCUAUUCACUGUCUCUUUCUCUAAAUCCAGUUAGGCUAUCAGAUCUAGGGAGAGAGAAGGAGAAUAAAGGAAAAAAAGAGAUCAUAGGAGGAUAAUGAGAGAAAGAUGAGUAAAUAGAAGAAGGGAAGGGGAAAUGAGGAAGGAAAUGAGAGAGAAAGAAAUGAAGAAAUAGAGAGAGAGGUAACUAUGUGGAUGAAUUGAGAGAAGGGAAAAAGAAGACGAGAGAGUGUAACUGCUGAUAGUAGCAAGUGAGGAAAGGGAGGCAGUGGUAGUGAAAAAAAAAGGAAAGGAUGGGAAGCGGCGAAAAGGCAGUGAUAUGAUUAAGUUACUAUAAAUAUGAUUUAGUUAAUUUAGCUAGUUAAGUUAAAUUUAAAUAUGAUUUAUUAUAAGGGGAGGAGUAGAAAGGAUAGCACGAAAAGAAGAAAUGUAAGUGAGGUGUUGUGAGUUAAAGGCAUAUUACUUACAUUAAAUACACAUCCCUCUUGAUAUAUGUAUGACUAAUAAAACGUUAAUGUUAAAAUUUGCGGAAUUAAAAGGGGGGAAGUAUUAGCCAACCAAUAAGCGGUAUGGUAUCCGACAAUGCAAAAGUGAAACUUCACUCGAUGCUUCACCCUUAAUUUGGGACCAGGGACAGGAACGGUUGCAAGUGCUGAAGGUUAUGUGCAUUUUACAUACGAUGUAACUCUGUUUGUACAUGGUGUAACUUACUUUUAACAACGUGUAAUUUUAGAACAAAAUUUUAUGGAUCCUCCACAUAUUAUUAAAAAUGAGAUACAAGAUGGGAUCUAAAUCGUAUAAUUUUUUUGAUCAAAUCUUGACCGUGAGCUGCUCAAGGACGGUUCGCUUGAUGGCUGUCCCUGCCCCAAAUCCCUUAAUUUGCGACCACUUGCGAUCCUCGUACGAUUCUUCAUAUACGGCAUACUCCGAAAGGUAGAAAGAGACCUGACGCAUACCAUCCAUCCAUACUAGGAAAAGGACGUUCCUUUUUUCAAAUACGAACGAUUGACCCACCAAGAAGCUGAGGGAUAAAAAAUUGGGAUAAUUUCACAAACCUCCCCUAAGGUUUCAUGAAAUAUCACCUAGCUCCCUUGAACUUUUUAAAAUCUCACUUAACACCCUUAAAAUGAUAGUAGGGCCAUAUGUUAAUAUCAAAGGUGAUGAAUUGUCAAUAACACCCUCCUAUUUAAAUUUUCUAAACUUGUUUUUCUUUCUCUAAAUGUCAAUAAAAUAUAGGAUUUAAUAAAUGAAAUAUUUAGCGCAUUUGGAGAAAAAUAGCUGCAGAUUCUUUUUUCCUCUUUUUUUUUGUGUUUCAUAACUUUAUUUAUUUAUUUAGUUAUUUGUUCCUAUUCAUGUAGAGCGCAAGAGAAAUAAAAUAACUAAAACACCGAACUGCAGUUUUACAAAUUCUGAGUUUUUUAUAAUAAAAUUUUCAUAUUUCUUUCCCAGAAAAAAGUCGGUCUAUUUUGAGUAAAUUCUCUGUAUGCUAUUGAAGUUGAAUUUCAUCUAUUGCUGAGUUUUUUGGCUCAAAUGUAUGCUUUUUACAUGCUAAUUGCCUUCAAUGCUAUGGAGGGUUUUAUUUAUAGAAAUGGUUUAAAAAAAUAUUUGCUUUUAUUGUCUCUCUCUACUAUAGAAAUGACUAUUGGUUGUAACAUAAAAUCUUAUAAAUUUUCAUCUUCUCAUUUUUAAAAUGAUUCCAAUUUAGUACUUUUUUUCUUGGUUUGUCAAAUGUUCAUUUUUCUAUAGGCUACGGGUAGUAAAGGCACUAAAAUAAUCUCUCUCCUCAAAUAUGAAUUUUUUAAUAUGACAAUGUUACCAAAAUGUCAAUUCGAGGGGUGCUAAGUGAGAUUUUGAAAACCUCAAGGGAGCCAGGUGAUAUUUCAUGAAACCUAGGGGAGAUUUCUGAAAUUAUCCCUAGAAAAUUUAAACGAGGUGAAAGGGGUGGUGGGUCCCGCGUUUGGACUUCACACUGGCUCUCUUCCCUGUGAUAACUCAUAGAAAUUAUCACUCCCAUCAUUGCUCUCUGCGACCCCUCGCCACGUCAUUAAACCUUCCCAUCAUCCAAUCGCUCCUCCCUCCCACUCGGCUUGCAUGAUACGGAUACCAUCGUGUCCGUUCGAUUCCUAGUGGACCCCGCACCCUACAAAGAAAUAUGGGCCCCACAUAUUUCUAGGGGCAUUUAUUUUUUCCUAGGCCCGUUUUCAGGGGAUAAAAAAUAGAACUCCCGAAACCCAUCCCAACGCCAACAGAGUACUCGCGCGGUGCUGCAGUUUCACUACUACCGGAGGCAGCAGCAGCUGCAGCAGUAGGUAGGAAGAUAGCUGUCACACUCAAAUGGACCAAAACGGCACCGUUAAUUCCCGUCAUCGUCGAUCGCCCUCCUCUGACAGAUUUCUCGGCGUUUUCUCUCCGACCGAACGAAGCACCGCUCUCAGUGCUUCUGGAGACAACUCUGCCUCCGGCGACGAGCUUAACGAAGACGACGUCUUCUGGACUGGUGACUUUACUGAGCCUCGUGGCCGGUCCUCUUCCCCUUCCUCAGUCAUCAACAUGCGCCAGCCCUUCCGGAAGCCGGAGAAUUUCGGUAUACUUGCUGCCUUGUCGGAUGACCACCGUAACCCCAACCAAUCUUUGCUCUACAGGAAGGCCUCUCUCUCUCCCUCGACGUCGUCGUUUAACAAAACCCCACUUUCGGCUUCACCUACUCAACCGUCGCCGUUUUCACGUGCGAUUCCUUCUAUUCCGAAGCCGCAGCAGAACUACAGCACCUACUCGCAGUCGAUGCCAGCAAGGAAGUUCCAACAGUCGGCUCCGGUGAAUGUGCCGAUGAUGCCGAGAAAGGUGAGGAACGGCUUGCUGGCUGACGUGGAUGUUGAUGAUAAUGACGCCGACGAUGAGAUGCUCCCGCCGCACGAGAUCGUUGCACGAGGAUCGGCGGCUGGGUCUCCGAAGACCACGUUCUCGGUGCUUGAAGGCGUCGGGAGAACUCUCAAAGGCAGAGAUCUUCGUCAGGUUCGCAACGCCGUCUGGCGCCAAACAGGUUUUGUCGAUUGAAAAGCUACGAUAUCUGAUUUUGACACAAAUAUACCCGUAUAAAUUGGGGUUUUUCGGACUGAGAAGUUUGAAUUUUUGCUAGCUUUUCAGAGGCCUAAGAUACAAUUGCUGUUGUAGUCAGCCGGGGACUUCAAAGGUUCCCCAUUUUGGCGCAUCGGAGUUAUUAUAGUGCUGAGGAUGUUAAAUGUGUUAUCUAUAAGAUUUUGUUGCGGAAGAAAUUCUUGUACCAUUAUGGUACAACCUGGAUAACAGAUACUAGUCUUGGUAGAAUUAAGAAGGAAGAACUUCUUUUUUCUGAAUUUCAAUCAUCUUCAAUACUUGAGGGACUAAUAAUAACAAUCGACCAUCCUCAAUAGUUAUCCUACUAGUUAUAAGGUUUGAAUGCUCAAAAUGAAGAAAUGAAAAUGAAGGAUAAUUGUUAGUUGUAAUAGUGGCUUUUAAGUUAUGGUAGGCUAAGUAUAUAAGCAGGUUGCUGCAGAUUAACUAGUUUUGCAAGUUAUAGGUACUUUAAAGUUAAAAAUCAAGGUCCACCUUUUCAAUACAUGGAUGCCGUAAGCAUUUGUACUCUGGUAGAGAUGGAGGACGCAGAGAAGACUGCCUUCUAUUAUAAAUUUGAGUACAUUUCAUGUAAUUUCCAAUGUGUGACUUUGUGAUCAAUCCACUUUGGUUUGGUAGGUUACCAUCACACACUCAAUUCCGAGUGUGGAUAUACUCUAAUCGAGUUAAACUUGGAUUACCUGGUAGUUUUCUAAAAUGUGUUAAUUAGUUGUGUAAUUUGAAAUAGGAUGGCCUGUUAGUUACUGUAUUGUCUUUUAGUCUUUCUGUGUUGCUUAUUUAAUAGUAUAGAAGGGUAUUGAUUGUCAAGAAAAAGAAAUACAACUACUUAGCACCUUGAUAUCAUUUUUGAUUUCAAAUAAUACUCUAUCCAAACAAACAUGCUUCCCGUCCAUGUUGUAACUGUAUUUAAUGGAAGUCCAAUGCAUUAACAUCAAUUAAUGUCAAAUGUUGUCUCAGGUAGAGGCCUGACAGGUAUUCAGCUGGUUCCUUUGCAUGCUCCAACUUUUGUACUAGUUCAUUGGAGAACUUGAAUAGAUUUUGUUCAGAUAUUGUUACUUUUUCCUGUUGGUAAAUUUUAGUAAUACAAGUGGGAGAUAGUCACUGUACAUUUUAUUCUACAUUUUAGACUGCAAAGUGUGUCCAUUUAGGAUAUUAGUGGUGCAAUGCUGAGGAAUGACAAACUUGUGCUGGACAAGAUUAGAGAAAGAAUAAUAAGUAGGUAAUGACAUUUUUCUUGGUGGUUGUGUAUUGAUGUGACCUAGAAUGGAAACUCAAAGGAAAUGCUGGUAGUCAACUCUUACAGGGAUCUUCAAAUUACUCUGAUUUCACUAAAUGUACUGUCGGGGAUAUUCCAGAUGCCGCUGUGUUGUGGAUACAUAUUAGUUGUAAGAGAACAAGAUUAUUUUUUUCUGAAAGUAGCAGGCCUGAGCUAUGCUUGCUAAUUAUGCUGUAGCUGGAAGGAGUACAAUAGUUUCUCUUCUGAUAAUUAUGUUUGCAAAUUUCACAAAAUGUACAAUAACUUUUAUUUGAUUUGUGUGCUUCUGAUAUUUUAGAUUGGACCAAAAGAGAGAGCAUUGCAUUUACCUUCUCUUUUUAGUUAACAUUAAGAAGCUCUUUGCUUUGCACUUUAUCAAACUCGUGAACUGGCUGUUCACACCACCACCAACGCAGUUGAUCUAACUUUCUUUAAGAUCAAUAGCCAUUAGCAUGGUUUGCACUUAACCCGCACAUUCGGUUAUGCUAUCGGCAUUGAUCAUUUCUUUGCGCAACUGCAUAUCCACCUUGUGACUAGUUAGAAACUUGCAGUUCACGUCUUUAGUCGGCUAGUUAUGAUUGAUAUUGGUUACGGCUUGGCAUAACCAUGGCGUACUGAAAUUUGAAAAAGUAACAGUUCUUACUUGGUCAGAAGUCACAUAAGUGAUGCCAUCAGCACUGUGUUUUGUUUAACUGUCAACGGGAUUGGCUUUGGUGAUAAAAGUUAUAUACCUGGUUUGAUGCUUCUUCUAGUCACCUAUACUUGAAGCUUAAUGCAUCCUGCACGAUUUUGUCAAAUAUGGUCCCAUUGAAAGAUCUGAAUAGUAUUUGAACCAAAAUUUUUUGCAGUUUGCCUGCCUUGACCACUUACAACUUAAAUGUGGAUAUUAUACCUGGUGUUAGUAAUCUUGUAGUCAUAUGGACUUGAAGAUCAAUGCAUCAUGCCAAACUCGGGUCACAUUUAGAAAUUUGAAUGGUAUUUGGAUUAGAAUUCUUCACAGUUACUCGAUUUUGUCUAAUCACAAUGUAUAGCUGUUAUAGUUUCAUGAAAGUAACUGGAAAUCAUGGUGUUCUAAUCAUGAUGAUUUAUUUAGUGAGAAAUGCUCUUACUCCAUGUGCAAUUGAUUGAAUGGAUUUUCAACGGUUACAAACUAAGGCUCGUGUUCUAGUUGUGUAGAGUCAAGACACUUCAUUCAACACUACUGUAUAUUACUAAUAGUAAAUAGUAUCGUGUUCAUGAUUAGAGAGACGAAAACUUGUUUGUACAAUCUGCACAAAGAAUCUAGAUCUAAAUCACCUUGAAACUAUUCAUGAAAACAAUAUAUGAAAUUCUAUAACUUUUACUGUUUGAAGGAACUUUUGCGAUGAGGCAAAUUCUAGCAGUUCAUUGGACCUAAUCUAAAGCAUUAUACGACCUAUUUACCAAGGCAUAGCAAGUAGGUUUCACAUUAUGAAAAAUCUAAAAUCUGAAUACUCUCUUCAUUUUGUAAAGGACUCGUAGUUAUUUGCAACUUUGCUUCGUUCAAAAUUUAAACUUGGACUUGAGUAGCUCAAGCUAUUUAAAUUCCUUGUGAUCUUACAUGAGAAGUCUAUUUUAAUCUAAUCUAUUUAAGGUGAAUGUCUAUUUUAUCAAUAUGUUUAAAACAUAAAUCUGUACUACUUGAGAACUCAAUUAAACUCGAAUUAUAGCGUGUUAAAACCGCCUGUUUAAGUACCUAUUAACGCCUCUAGUAUGUUAGCUGUAGUCAUGCUCCCACAUAAGGAUCUCCUUUACGUUAGAGCUUGAGGAAUAAUUAGAAAUGUGAGAAGCCUUGCUGAUUCUUGUUAUACUUUAGCGAAAUAAUUAAAAUAGAGGUAAGAAUAGUCGAUUCUCCAUUUCUUUAUCCAUGUUAGUAUAUUUUUUAAAUAAAAAAUUCAUAAUUCAUUCUCACAAAUCUGUACUAAUGGCACAAGAUGCAUCAAAUCAAAUUAGCAUGUGACAAAAAUAACAGAUAUAUUAGAUCUGAAAAAUUUUUAAAAAAAAAAUUAAAACCUUGUACAGAACAAAAUAGGAGAAAUAAAAGUCUACCUAUGAAAUCUUAGGAGAGAGAAUACUCUAAUUAAAAAAAACUUUGGACAGGCUUUAUUUAAACAAUACAAGAAAAUUAGAAAUUCGAGGAAGGGAGACCAUGGUCGAUUGAAAAAAUUUGUCUACAAGAGACAAAGAGCUUAUGAAGAUUACUAAUAAUGCUUAGUAUAGUGUGGAAUGAAAAAAGAUUUCGAUCUUUAACCAUGUCAUGUUUGGGAGACAAGGUAACUUUUUGCAUUCAUGAUCAACGCUACUGCUAUUUCUUCAUCCGAGUUAUGGGUUGGGGAACAAAGAACUUUGCUUUAAUGAUAAACGGUUGGGUAUUUAGCUCGGUUUUGUGCCUACACCUAAUUGUUCUUCACAUAAAUCUAUUCAUCGACAAUACAGAAUAUCAAGAUUCAGGCAAGACUAGGAACAAAUGCCCUUUCUUAUUUCUGAAUUGAUUUCGAUCAAAUUGGAGCACCUUUAUGCUUUUGAUCAGAAAGACGAGCGUCGGACAAAACGAGUCAGAUUUCCAUAUCCAGCAAACAAAAAGCGUGACAAGUCAGAAUAUCAAUAAGCGUUAAGUUGUGGAAGUUCACAGGGGGAAAGAAUCCCCUCACCGUCCAUGAUCAUUUUCCUCAUCCUUGCCACUAAAGGAUGCAACUGCCCGCAAAUGUCCAACAUAUCAGAUAAACUUUAAUUUUCCCCCAUAGAAACGCGCAAAUGCAACAAACAAAAGAAAAAAUUCAAGACCAAGAACAAUUUGAGGCCAGGGCAAACGCAAGUCAGGAUAUCAAUAAGCCUGAAAGCAGAGCUCAUGGAGGUAUUCACCUCUCGCACAUCUAAUUUUGUCUUCAUCCUCGCAAUGCCAUCCCGAAUCAAAAUCAAUCAAAUGAAAAAUUACAAGCACAAGAAACAGUAGCCCCUGUACUAAACAAUUAUUGAAUGCCCAAGGUAGUAAUUCCCCCAUAUUUGAUUCUGUUACAAUGAUAAAACUAAAAUCCAGAUGAAAAGAAAUGUACCCCACUUCACCGCGAGACAUUCACCAAUCAACAAUUUUGACCCUGCCAAACCCGAUGUCAGAACCCAAACAGAAAGUCAUCUGCCGGAAUUCCAACAAUUAGGAAAAAGCGGGCAGCCAAAAAAAAAAGUUAUGCCUCGACAAAUAAAAGAGAAGAGCGGGAUAAAACAGGACUGAAUCCUCAAUAGGAAAACCCUAAAGAGAAAGCCCUAGGCAUAUACGACACGCCCCAAAAAACAGGGUCUGUAGUAUAUAAUCGUUAAUCUAGCGCAGCUAUGACUCGAAACGCUUCCAUUGCUGAAAGGUGGAAGGCGAUCUUAAGGGCUGCGCCUGGGCAUAAUAUUUUUGAAUUGCUAUCAAACAUUCAAACGUCCAACUGAUUGAUAAUUGAAAGCACCAAGAGAGAAAAAGAUUGAAGCGAGAAUGAUUUCAAUUUUUCCCACUCAAAUCGAAUUGGUUCGUCAAACCCUAGCCUGCGGCCGUUGAGAUGUGGGGGAGCGGAGCAAGCCAGAGUUAUUUAUACUGGUACUUUUUAUCUUCCUCUUCUACGGGCCUGUGUCCCCUCGGAUUGCCGAGCCCAUUCGGCCAGAAAUUGCUUCCAUCAAUAAGGUUUAAAACACAAACCCUUGAAGUUGGCACACCGACUUGCAUGGACAACCCGGAUUGCAUUGCAUGCCUCCACACACUGGAAGAUCCAGCCCAAAGCCGCAAGUGAUAGAGCCCACCAAAAUUUAGACAACAGGUUACUCAAACACGUUCAGCAUCUCUAUAGACCUAGGCUUGGCUUGGAUUUUCCUCCCGUCUCCC